This 370-nucleotide ribosomal RNA is filed under the name uncultured bacterium. RNAcentral's name for it is "partial 16S ribosomal RNA". It matches the Rfam family "Bacterial small subunit ribosomal RNA", at positions 338 to 706 of the family's 1533-position model. The record is from RNAcentral.
CCUACGGGAGGCAGCAGUGAGGAAUAUUGGUCAAUGGGCGGGAGCCUGAACCAGCCAAGCCGCGUGAGGGAAGAAGGUACAGCGUAUCGUAAACCUCUUUUGUCAGGGAACAAAGGCGGGGACUAGUCCCCGGAUGAUGGUACCUGAAGAAAAAGCAUCGGCUAACUCCGUGCCAGCAGCCGCGGUAAUACGGAGGAUGCGAUCGUUAUCCGGAUUUAUUGGGGUUAAAGGGUGCGCAGGGGGCGUGUUAAGUCAGCGGUAAAAGCCCGGGGCUCAACCCCGGCGAGAGGUGGACACUGGGGGGCGGGAGUGGGAGAGAGGGAGGGGGAAGGCGGGGGGUAGCGGUGAAAGGCGUAGAUAUGGGGCAGAA